ACUCCUACGGGAGGCAGCAGUGGGGAAUUUUGGACAAUGGGCGCAAGCCUGAUCCAGCCAUGCCGCGUGUGUGAAGAAGGCCUUCGGGUUGNAAAGCNCUUUUGUCCGGAAAGAAAUCCGUCUGGCUAAUACCCGGACGGGAUGACGGUACCGGAAGAAUAAGCACCGGCUAACUACGUGCCACCAGCCGCGGUAAU
This 197-nucleotide ribosomal RNA is filed under the name uncultured bacterium. Its description in RNAcentral is "partial 16S ribosomal RNA". It matches the Rfam family "Bacterial small subunit ribosomal RNA", at positions 335 to 524 of the family's 1533-position model. The record is from RNAcentral.